GACGAACGCUGGCGGCGUGCUUAACACAUGCAAGUCGAACGGAAAGGCCCUGCUUUUGUGGGGUGCUCGAGUGGCGAACGGGUGAGUAACACGUGAGUAACCUGCCCUUGACUUUGGGAUAACUUCAGGAAACUGGGGCUAAUACCGGAUAGGAGCUCCUGCUGCAUGGUGGGGGUUGGAAAGUUUCGGCGGUUGGGGAUGGACUCGCGGCUUAUCAGCUUGUUGGUGGGGUAGUGGCUUACCAAGGCUUUGACGGGUAGCCGGCCUGGGAGGGUGACCGGCCACAUUGGGACUGAGAGACGGCCCAGACGCCUACGGGAGGCAGCAGGGGGGAAUAUUGCACAAUGGGCGGAAGCCUGAUGCAGCAACGCCGCGUGCGGGAUGACGGCCUUCGGGUUGUAAACCGCUUUCGCCUGUGACGAAGCGUGAGUGACGGUAAUGGGUAAAGAAGCACCGGCUAACUACGU
This 467-nucleotide ribosomal RNA is filed under the name uncultured bacterium. RNAcentral describes it as "partial 16S ribosomal RNA". It matches the Rfam family "Bacterial small subunit ribosomal RNA", at positions 28 to 506 of the family's 1533-position model. The record is from RNAcentral.